Molecule: long non-coding RNA, 317 nt
Organism: Osmerus eperlanus (European smelt)
Lineage: Eukaryota; Metazoa; Chordata; Actinopteri; Osmeriformes; Osmeridae
Exons: 3
Source: RefSeq, a predicted model, not a curated record
CUUGGAGAUCCUGCGUCCAACAUGAAAACUAUUUGUUGUCUCAGCUUUGCUUGGGUGCUUCGCAACUGCUGUUGCAGCCUCGGCAGAUGGAAAUGUGAAAUGGUGCGUCAAUUCCGGACAAAGAAGAGAAGAAAUGCAAAGACCUUGCCGCCAAAGGACCGUUUUCCUGCGUAAAAAGAAGAUGGGCCGAUUGAAUGCAUCAAAGCGAUUCACGCGGGUGAGGCAGAUGCUAUCACUCUGGAUUCAGGAGAUAUCUACACAGCUGGCCUCAAACCCUAUGAAUUGCGUCCUAUUCAUUGCAGAGUAUGCUGGCAAUG